UACGUAGGAGGCGAGCGUUGUCCGGAAUUACUGGGCGUAAAGCGCGCGUAGGCGGCUUUGCAAGUCGGGUGUGAAAUCCCCAGGCUUAACCUGGGAACUGCAUUCGAGACUGCAUUGCUAGAGGACGGUAGAGGCGAGUGGAAUUCCCGGUGUAGCGGUGAAAUGCGCAGAUAUCGGGAGGAGCACCAGUAGCGAAGGCGGCUCGCUGGGCCGUUCCUGACGCUGAGACGCGAAAGCUAGGGGAGCGAACAGG
This 253-nucleotide ribosomal RNA is filed under the name uncultured bacterium. Its description in RNAcentral is "partial 16S ribosomal RNA". It matches the Rfam family "Bacterial small subunit ribosomal RNA", at positions 524 to 776 of the family's 1533-position model. The record is from RNAcentral.